This 254-nucleotide ribosomal RNA is filed under the name uncultured bacterium. RNAcentral describes it as "partial 16S ribosomal RNA". It matches the Rfam family "Bacterial small subunit ribosomal RNA", at positions 524 to 776 of the family's 1533-position model. The record is from RNAcentral.
CACGUAGGGUGCGAGCGUUGUCCGGAAUUAUUGGGCGUAAAGAGCUCGUAGGCGGUGUGUCGCGUCGGCCGUGAAAACCUGCAGCUUAACUGUGGGCUUGCGGUCGAUACGGGCAUCACUGGAGUUCGGCAGGGGAGACUGGAAUUCCUGGUGUAGCGGUGAAAUGCGCAGAUAUCAGGAGGAACACCGGUGGCGAAGGCGGGUCUCUGGGCCAAUACUGACGCUGAGGAGCGAAAGCGUGGGGAGCGAACAGG